AUGACUGGCAAGCCUGGCUCCAUCCGGGCUCAGAUCAACUUCCAGCUGGCCAGGACUUGCCAGGCUUCUAUCUUUAGGAGAGGGAGCGGUCUCAUUUCAGUGUUUGGCCACUUUCCUUCCUGGGACUUGGGACUCACCCGCUGGUGCUGCCGGGCACAUCCUGAACCAGCCCUGAACCCUGCAGUCCCCAUAUCCUGCCAGGACAUGGGUUUCCCUGCUGCUGCCAGGACUUUGCUCCGACAUGAGCUCCCUCUGCACGUGCCAUCGCUUCCUGUGGUUCUGUUAUUGUGUGCCGAGGACCCGUCGGCGGAGAGGGGCGAAGGCAGAGCCGUCUGCAGCUGUCAGACACUCAUUGUGUGCUGCCGAGGGGACGGGCUCACGGAAAUCCUGCCGAGGGAUGCUCCGGGGCACUGUCGCACAGCCGAACGGCGCCGUGGUGCCCCUGUUUGGGCUCUGAUCUCCCCGAGCCGCUUCCUCUGCUGCAGGAGAGAUGGCAGGCAGGAUGUGCCUUCGUGCCUUUGUGCCCCCGACCCCCAAAGCCUCGGAGGGGCUGCGGGGGACGGCGGGGAUGCAGCCCCGGGUCGCCCCGGGUAGCCCGGAUCACCCUGCCCAGCCCCGGGCUGGCCCCGGGGCUGGGCAGGGUGAUCCGAGCUACCCGGGGCGGCCCGGGGCUGGGCAGGGUGAUCUUGUGAGGAACUGCAUUGACUUGUUUGUUCAUCAAAAGUAUGAAAUUAGGAUAAAAGGGGGGGAAGUCGGGACAUGGAAUUUGCAGGCUUGACUGGUAACCACAAACAAAGGUUGUGAAAGAUUUUGCAGGACUGGCUGGAACUGAUAACCGAAGUGGAAACCCAUUGUUGCUGAAACUGAUAACCACGGUGGAAGGAGACCCAUCACCCCCACUUAUGCAGGAUAAAAAGGGACUGAAGAGAAGGAAAGGUUGUCAGCUUUUGGCGGAACACAGGCUCCGCAGCUGCACCCAGCGCUGUUUGCUUGCUAUCGCUUGCUGUAAUUAAUAAAAUUAUUAAUUGAUCUUAAAAGGCUGAAUCAAAUUAUUCGCCUCAAUUUAUAACAAUCUGGGCUACCCGGGGCGGCCCAGGGCUGGGCAGGGUGAUCCAGGCUACCCGAGGAGGGCUGUGGCUGUGCAGAGCAGACACGGGCUGGGCAGGUCACAUCAAGGCUCAGCUCAUCGCUCUGUCUGGGGCCGGGCACAAGGGAAAGCCUGGGUGACCUCUGUUUGGCUGUUAUUCAGGUUUUUCUGUGGUCGUUGUUUCUUUAAUAGAACAUCUGGGAACACUUGUCCAGAUCUCACGGCAGGACACUGCACCCUUUGCUCACAGAAACCCCAAGAGCUUGGCUUGGCCAAUUGUGUUCCUUGUGACUCCUCCUGUGGUCCCCAUUUCAGAGAUAUGGGACAGGGCAGGUACUUGUCCCCAGUUCAGAGGUACGGGAAGGAGAGGAUAUUUGUCCCCUGUUUGAAAGCCUGCAAGUGGCCAGGCUGGGAAACACCGGCUUCAUGUUGAAAGAGCUGAGCCAGGUCCGUGGUCAGAGGAACAGGCUUCUUGAGCAGAAUUUAGUUUUCAGUUCCUUAAUUCUGUGUCAAAGCAAAGUGGGAUGUGGCAGAGGGAGCUCCUGACCUGGCUGUGUUUUGGAGAGGAAUAGCUGAGGUUUGGGUAUGUGUGGCUGAGUAACACUGGGAGAAGAAAACCGGGAAGGGAAGAGAAGGAGGGAAACAGCAGAGCUCCAUCUGUGGAGAUUUAUCAGGGAGUCAGCGCCG
This 1774-nucleotide long non-coding RNA is filed under the name Taeniopygia guttata (zebra finch). RNAcentral's name for it is "lncRNA (ENSTGUG00000026660.1)". The record is from RNAcentral. Lineage: Eukaryota; Metazoa; Chordata; Aves; Passeriformes; Estrildidae.